GACGAACGCUGGCGGCGUGCUUAACACAUGCAAGUCGAGCGGUAAGGCCCUUUCGGGGGUACACGAGCGGCGAACGGGUGAGUAACACGUGGGUGACCUGCCCUUAGCUCUGGGAUAAGCCUGGGAAACUGGGUCUAAUACCGGAUAUGACUCCAUGACGCAUGUUGUGGGGUGGAAAGCCUUGUGCGGCUAGGGAUGGGCCUGCGGCCUAUCAGCUUGUUGGUGGGGUGAUGGCCUACCAAGGCGACGACGGGUAGCCGGCCUGAGAGGGCGACCGGCCACACUGGGACUGAGACACGGCCCAGGACUCCUACGGGAGGCAGCAGUGGGGAAUCUUGCGCAAUGGGCGAAAGCCUGACGCAGCGACGCCGCGUGGGGAUGACGGCCU
This 388-nucleotide ribosomal RNA is filed under the name uncultured bacterium. Its description in RNAcentral is "bacterial SSU rRNA". It matches the Rfam family "Bacterial small subunit ribosomal RNA", at positions 28 to 417 of the family's 1533-position model. The record is from RNAcentral.